UGCCUACAAAACAUAUGAGUGCGUGCCUGCAAAAUUAGUAUAAUUAAUAACUCAAAUUCAAUAUUCUAUGAUGACUGUGAUUUGGAAAAAGUAAGAAUAUUAGAUGAUAAUAAAAAUAAAGCAGGUGUAUAUUGUUGAAUAAAUAAUAUUAACUAUAAAUUAUAUGUAGGUAGCUCUAUUAAUUUAAGAACUAGAUUUUAUAAAUAUUAUAGUCUUAAACAUUUAAAUGAAAAUAGGACACCUAUUUAUAAUGCACUCUUAAAGUAUGGAUAUGGUAAUUUUUCAUUGGUAAUAUUAGAAUAUACCGGAGAAGGUACAAAUCCUAUAGAAAGAGAGCAACAUUAUUUAGACUUAUUGAAACCAGAAUACAACAUAUUAGAAAUAGCAGGUUCUAGUUUAGGUUAUAAACAUACAGAAGAAACUCUAAAGUAUUUUAAAGAAGAUCGAAUAAUUACAGAUGAAACUCGUGAAAACUUAAGUAUUGCAGCUAAAGAAAGAAUACUUCCGCAAGAAGUUAGAGAUAAAAUCUCUGAUAAACGUAAAGGUAUAAAACUUUCCGAGGCAACUCGUGCAAAGAUAUCAGAAUCAGCUAUAAUUUUAAGAGGAGUAAAAGUAAAUAUAACUAAUGUUGAAACAAAUGAAGUAUUGUCGUUUGACAAUAUGACUACUGCAGCCAAACAUAUAGGUGUGAGUAGACCAGCCGUGGCCAAGGCUUUAAAUAAAGGUAGCCUUAUUAAAGGUGUUUUUAAAAUCAAUUAAUAAUAAUUGAUUAUAUUGUAUUUAUUAUUUGCUAAAUGGAUGAUUAAGUCUUUGUAGGGACUUAAUUGUUUAGGGAGAAGGACUUCAGCUUUAUCUAAAUUAGAUAGAAGAAGUAGAUUUGUUUCUGCGAAACCUAUAAUAGUAGGCAAUUUAAGUAUAAUAUCUUAGCAGGUACAGAAUUUAAUCUCAGACAAGACAUUAAAUGUUUUAUUUUGUACAAAUGGGGGGAUCAUGAAGAUUUUAUCCGUGAGUAUGCAGACUCGGAAUGGCAAAGAUAUAUCUUAAAUUAUCAGACAUAGAAUGAUAAGGUUGUAUGUCAAAAGGGAAACAGCCCAGAACAAGAGUUAAGGUUCCUAAAUUAUUCGUUGAGUGAAAUUAAGAAGGUUUUUAUUAAAGUCGACAAGGAGAUAGGCUUAGAAGCAGCCAUAAUUUUAUGACCUCGUAACAGAGCGCUUGUUAAGUUUUAAAAGCAUCGAAAAUUUAUCGGAUCUAAACAAUAUACCGAAACCUUGUCCAUAAUAAUUUAUAAUAAUAAUUUAUAUUAUAAUUAAAUGGGGUAGCAGAACGUUGAGCUGAAUUAUGAUUUUUAUUUUUUAAAUAAAAUUAUAACAAUUUAACUCAAGCGAUAAUGGUGACAUGAGUAACUAAAAGAAAAUUUUCCGCCUAAAGCUUAUGGAUGUAAUUAAGUAACGGCCUCUAAGUUUAUAUUAUCUAAAGAUUUAAACGAUGAGAUAAUCUUUAUUACUAAGGACGACAUUUUAAGUGAAAAAUGUACUGGAAAAAUAGUAAUAUAUUUAUAUACAUACAUGUGUAUAAAUGAAAAGUAACCGUACCUAGAAUCUGAAACAAGUAAGCUAGUAGAGAAUACGAAGGCGUAAAUGAGCUAACAAUCAUAAAGGAACUCGGCAAAUUAAUUUUAAGUGAAAAAUGUACUGGAAAAAUAGUAAUAUAUUUAUAUACAUACAUGUGUAUAAAUGAAAAGUAACCGUACCUAGAAUCUGAAACAAGUAAGCUAGUAGAGAAUACGAAGGCGUAAAUGAGCUAACAAUCAUAAAGGAACUCGGCAAAUUGACUACCGUAACUUCGGGAUAAGGAGAGCUCAUUAUUCUUGAUUAAUAUCAAGUAAAGAGGAAGAAGCAUGAAAUAGUGUUGUACGACUGUUUAAUUAAAACACAGCACUUUGCUGAAAGAUUAAAAAUCUAAGUAUAGAGUGUGAUGUCUGCCCGGUGCCGGCUGGUUAACAGAUAUAAUUGGAUAUACUAAUAUCUGAUGUAGACGGAAACCCCGGUUAAAGGCGGCCUUAACGUGAGGGUCCUAAGGUAGCGAAAUGCCUUGGCCGUUAAAUGCGGUCUUGCAUGAAUGAUGUAACGAUACAACAGCUGUCUCUAUGAUUGACUCAGUGAAAUUGGAAUAGCUGUGCAGAUACAGUUUACCUCUAGUUAGACGAGAAGACCCUAUGCAGCUUUACUGUCACUAAUUAUAGAGUAUGAUAAACAAUUUUCAGUUUAUAAGGUAAUUGACUAGAUAACAAUGAGAAUCCUUUAUUUUUUUUUCAUAUGAAUGAAUUGAUUUAGGAUUACGGGAUGUUUUUAUUUUUAUAAACAACUCAUUUUAGUAAAUCAACCUAGUUCAGCUUAUUUUUAUAAUAUAAGUACCCUUUGGUGAGGAACUAUCGCUAGGGGACAGUUUAUGUGGGGCACAGACCCUGUAAAGAGUAAACAGGAGUGUCUAAUAAUUUAAAAUUAUUUUGUUUGCGAUUUAAGGUAGUUUAACUAUUUUUAAUCAUAUAAAAUUAUUUAUAUGUACAUUCUAUGCUUUGUCAUAAGUCUGUAUAUAUAUUUAAAAAAAGGUAGGAUUUUCACUAUAUAGAAAUUAGAGAUAAUUAGAAAUAUUAUGUACUUAGUGACUAAUGUUUUUUAACUAUUAAUAAUAGUUAUGUUUUAAAUAUCUAAAAAGCUCAACGGCUUAAUCUUGCCUUACUGUUUGAUUAUCAACAAAUCUUACAGUUGCGUAAGCAGGGCAUAGGAUCACAAGAUGCAACAAGGAAAGAUCUUGGAUUAUUGGAAAAGCUACGCUAGGGAUGUUUGUCCUUUAAUAUUUUAUUUGUAGUUGUGUGCUGUGUAGGCUAGGCACUAUGAAAUAAUUCAUAGAAGCAGCCAGCAUUGCUUAUUACAUGGUGAGCUAAAGCUAAAGCUAAAGCUUUAGCUAAGGCAGCUGUGUAAGUAAACAUGCCUACUGGGGAGUGUACUGC
RNAcentral lists this ribosomal RNA (3010 nucleotides) under Neonectria ditissima. RNAcentral's name for it is "bacterial LSU rRNA". The stretch from base 801 to 2166 matches the Rfam family "Bacterial large subunit ribosomal RNA", at positions 573 to 2043 of the family's 2925-position model. Lineage: Eukaryota; Fungi; Ascomycota; Sordariomycetes; Hypocreales; Nectriaceae. The record is from RNAcentral.